This 311-nucleotide long non-coding RNA is filed under the name Capsicum annuum. RNAcentral describes it as "long non-coding RNA (CANN_LNC002573)". The record is from RNAcentral. Lineage: Eukaryota; Viridiplantae; Streptophyta; Magnoliopsida; Solanales; Solanaceae.
CCGAGUGAACGCUAAUAUGUAACUCAGGGAUAAAGAUAAGAUAAUGUGAUUAUGUUCCAAGUGAAAUCAAUUAACCAUAUGCAAUCACAUGUACACACACAUACAAACACACACACACACACACAUAUAUAUAUAUUGUCCUUGGGAUAAGGAACAUGGUUUAACAUGCAUUUAAAUCCUUAACCUGAAAUGAGUAGCUUAACCAUUCUAAAACUACCCAAGGGCUAUAUGGGUUCAUCUCCCCCACUUAAUAUGACCCUGACUAGGGCCUUGUCAUAAUAGGCAUCCUAAGCCCAACAAGGAUUGGAGAC